GAUGAACGCUGGCGGCGUGCUUAACACAUGCAAGUCGAACGGAGAUGUACGCUGAAGAAGCUUCGGUGGAUUCUUGUGCAUCUUAGUGGCGGACGGGUGAGUAACGCGUGGGCGACCUGCCUCACACAGGGGGAUAACAGCCAGAAAUGGCUGCUAAUACCGCAUAAGCGCACAGUGCUGCAUGGCACAGUGUGAAAAACCGAGGUGGUGUGAGAUGGGCCCGCGUCUGAUUAGCUUGUUGGCGGGGUAACGGCCCACCAAGGCAACGAUCAGUAGCCGGCUUGAGAGAGUGGACGGCCACAUUGGAACUGAGACACGGUCCAA
RNAcentral lists this ribosomal RNA (324 nucleotides) under uncultured bacterium. RNAcentral's name for it is "bacterial SSU rRNA". It matches the Rfam family "Bacterial small subunit ribosomal RNA", at positions 28 to 334 of the family's 1533-position model. The record is from RNAcentral.